GAAUCCACACUAAUUACAUGUGUUGUUUUUCUAUCUGGGCUUCAGAAGAAACAAUGUAUUUCAAUAAUUGGUAGAAAUUGAAUUGUAAUUUAAUAGAAAGCCAAGCGCUCUCUCAGUGCAUCCCACUGUGUGAUUUAUGUUCUGUAAGGAAUUCCCUCAUGUUUGUCAUACAGAAAGCAAGGUUUAGACUUUUGUUCUUCCUUGCAGAAGGAAGGGAAAGGGUAAACAAAAGAAAUCAAUUAUAAAUGUUGCAUUAAUAAGGAUGAAGAUAGACUAUAUCUGUCAUUGGGAAAAGCCCUGGCUCAAUUCCCAAGGGACUGACUGCCUCUCAACAGUUUUGGCUUAGCAAAGGCGUUUGAGCAGGCUAUUCUUGGUCAGAUAAAGAGAAGCAGUGCUGGCAGUUCACACACUGUGCAGGCUUGAAAUCUCUGCAGUGUGCUCCCUAGCUGGGUCCAGAUGCACUGAUUCUCCAGGCACAGUGAAGGACAUAUUUAUUUGAUCAAGCUUUUGGAGAAAGCUGUGGGUAUAUUCCCAGAAUGAUGAGUGGAAGAGAUGAUAGUAAGAAUGACAAUUAUUUCAGUAACACCGAGACUGGUUUUCCUUUUGUUUCACUGUUACUCCUGAAACAUUAAUUAUAAGCUAGGACAUUAAAUUGCAUUUAUACUAAUGUAAAUAAGUAAUCAUAUAAAUCUGAGCAGUCUUAUUCCCCAGUAAGCACAUAUGGUAGGAGGGCAUGUUUAAAAGCACAGAACCAAAUCAUUACUAAAUACAGAGCCAUUGCUUAAACAUACAACACCCUUUAGGGAAUCUCCUACUCCCUCAACAGCAACAGAAAUGGUACAUUCUUCUGGCCAAACAGUAACUUCCAUAUGGCAUUAAUGUGACCAGCUGAAACUGGAGGUAAGGAUUGCUACUCAUGGUGAAUAUAGUUGUGCAUAUUUUGUGUAAAGUUUCAGAGUAUAAAGGCCAAAAUUUGCCCUGUCACCCUGAGAUCUUUAACUUAACUUAAACCACAUAAAUAUAUAGCAAAUACCAUGAGUUGUACUUGGUAUUUCUCUGAUUAACUCUUUUCAAAUUAAUUCCAUGUGUGGACUUUUAUUUUUCUGGAGUUCCUGGUUCCAGUUUAACCAAAGCAUCCCAAUUGCUUUCCAGGAUAAAAAGGCCACAGCUGGUGUUAUCUAGCAAUAGCUAUUUCAUGAUGGCUUAAUGAAAAGCAUAAGCGGGCCCUAGACAUGUGUUUACAACAGAACCUAUUAAUUUCCACACAAGCUGAAGGUACUCUAUGAUUUUGCAGGAAGAGAGAGCUGCUCAGAAAACAGAGCCCUAGGACUUGUGAUUCUAAAUCACUGAUAAGAAGGUUUUCUAUUAUGUUUCAAAAUUCCUAAGCCAAGCCAGACAAAGUGCUAAAUAUUAGUUUUUGAACAAAAAAAUAAAGAAAUAAUGAAAAGCUGUUCUUCUCUUACAGACUAUAAUUUCAUUGCUCCAAAUACAAAUAAUCUCUCCACUCAUCAGGGACAACAGAGCAUCAACAGUUCCUGCAUCUCUGCUGUUUUUUCCCUUUGUUUUUUUGCCUGUCUUUAGGGAAAAAUAUACCUAAGUAUAUUUUAUAUAUUUUAUAUAUUCAGCUUUCUGAAUAUAUCCCUAUAGUCACAGUGUUCAGCUGCCUAGUGUAGGAAUCCACCUUCUGAGAGCUACCCUGAGGCCAUCACCUAACAAGAGGCACCAGUGCUGGAUGGGAUGCCAUGUGCCAUUUCUUUACAGCACUGCCAGUUCCAGCCCCUCCACCUGCCUACCUGGGGUGCCAAGAGCACUGGAACAACUGCUCCUCAACCACCUGGUUAAAUGUUUUGGGGUUUAUUUUUAACACAGAUCAGUUCACUGAUCUCAUUUUCCAUGUGGCCUCAGGGGGUGCCUUGGGAAGAAACAGUUGUGCCAAAACAAACAGUGUGAGACGAGAACAAGUGGCUGAAGGUCAGGAGUGCUGAGCUGGCGUUGUCCCGAGGAGCACUGCAGCCAGGACACCGCUCCCAUGGCAGGCACAGAGACCUGAGUGCCUUUGGAUCCCUGGGGGCACUCUGUGCAAACCAGGGGCUACAGCCACCAGCAGAUGAAGGCUGCUGCAGGAGGAUGCUUUGAGUCUUCUGGAGUCUCCGACAUCACGUAUAACAUGUAUAUGUGUCAUCACAAAUAACGCAUCAGUUGUGGCACUUGCAUAGAACAGGGUAGCUCAGACUUGUGUAUAGUCAUGGCUCUUCUUUAGCACUUUCCUUUUUUACCUAUAUGUUGUGAAGACAGAAAGAGUGGGGCCCUUGAAACACAAGAAGUGUUCUUUUAAUACCCCAGUUAGAUAUCUUCAAAAGGUAACUGAGCUGUAUCACCUGCACUGUACUUUGAGCACUAUUUAACUCUGCUUUUAUUAGUUUAUCAUUAUUUUCCUAAAUUUCAUUAAGAGCCUGAGGCUGGAAAAGUGCACAAGAAAUAAAAACAAGCUCUACCUUCCUGUCAGCUGCUAACAGUCUUUCAAGCAGUUAAUCAGAAUGCUCUCUGAGAAUAAGAGAAAUGAUAUAGUGAAUAAGUCCUGCUUGGUCAGGUUUAUUACUUAGUUUACCAUCCUUGCUUCCUUGAGAAGAUGGUUUCUGAGGCUGUAUAAGAAGGUCAAGCCCCUUCUGACCUUAGGGUCGUCAGUUGGAUCAUAAGAUCAGUAGAAAUUCUAGGACACAGCUGUAGAGGUAUGUGAGCGCAUUAUAUUUUAAAAAUUAGAUCAUGACAAGGCAGUCAUAUAUUUUGUUGAAAUCAGAACCAAGAAGCUUACAGAUAGUAUUGAGUAAAUAAAUCCCAUUUUAUUUUUAAGGAAUUAUUUAAGGGAUUUAAAAAAAUAAUCUUCUUAUCUUUAAACCACUGGAAAUGGAACAGUAAGCAUAAACCUAUCUGGAAUAUUAGGAACUUUGAACAUAGAUGUUUGGUUCUUUAUCUAAAGAGUCCUACUCUGCAUAUGAAUAAUAUGCUAAUUAUGAACCACUUGCUAACUUGUAAAUCUGCAAUAACACACUUGCUUCACUACAUGCAACAGAACUCUAUAAAUAAGCAGGUGAAUUUUACUUUUCCUUUUACAAGGUAUCAGUGUCACUAAUAGCAAGCUGUGCAUUCUUAAUUAGUGGUUAUGUUGCCGAGAUUAAGUUACUUCUGGUGCAUUAAAAAUAGCCUUGACUAUUCCUCUUGUCUCAGAAUUGCCUGGCACAAAUCUUUCACAGGAGUGAUGCCUGUGUCACACAAUACUGUAGUGACAUUAUUGGAUUAAAGACAGUCAGCAAGAAGAGUCCAAAGCACUUCCCAAGAUAAGUUUCUCAGGAAAAGUGCUUUCUACAGAAAACCUAUGCUCUUAGGAGAGAGUAAUCCACCAUCUACUGAGAAUAACAGCAGCCUUACCAUGAUAUUAGAUAGAAAGCAGGGUAGAAAAGCUCUUUGGCAGAAAAACCUCUUAGGACAGCAUGUAGCACAGUAGUUGGAUAGAAAUAAGGCUAUCCAACUUGACAUUUUUUCUGAAACUUGUUCAAUUUUUUUAAUGGUAUAACAAUGCUGGAGAAGAGUUGAGUAGGUAAACUGACAGGCUGCUUUCAUCUCUGGGUGCAUUUUAUACAAUUUACACCAUGCAAUUCUACCACUGUGUGCUCCUUCUGACAAGCAGUGGGGACAGUGUCAUGUUGGCUUUUAGUGAACAGAAAAUUCAGCAUAACCUCCAGAUACUGUGCUACUGAAUAUGUUCGUGCUACACCUAUGUCUUGAAUAUCCUGUGUGGUUCAGAUUCCCCCCUCUUCUCAAUCUCAUGAAAUGAUCUGUUAAGAGGAGAAAAGAUACAGAAAGGGGUUGAUGGAUGUACUUAUCUACCUGUGCCAUUCUGUUAAUCUUAACAACUGAAAACCAAUGGUAAUCUAGAAUCAAAGUCAACGUAUUUGACUUCCUUUUUUUUCAGAAAAUUGACAGAAAUGUUCUGUUGUCUCUCAGAAAUGACUGAAAAGGGUGUGGCAGAGAGCUGUUAAAUAAUGACCUUUCUGAAGAUGAAUAAGGAGCAUUUGCAACAUUUCAUAAGCCAAAACCUAGAAUUAAAUUCCUAGAAACAUAUUGAAAUAUCAAAGGGAAUUAUUUUUUUCACACAGUCUCUUGCUAAAUUGAGUCACCUUUUGGCACAAAGGAGUUGCAAGGUAAAAAGCUGUGAAUGAGACUUAAGAGCAAUUCUAGCAAGGGUAUUAGAUGAUAUGAAUUCUCAAUCUGACCCCAAACUGCUGAUUUUAUAUUCCUGUGACUUGUACCUCAGUAGUAGAAGCUACUGCUGUGUAUAACUUGAAGAGCACAUACUCAUACAUUCAGUGCUACUGGAGCACAUAUACUGUAUUACAACUCAAUUUAUGCUAUCCAGAUAUUGGUUUUAGUAUUUUGGUAUUUAAGAAAGAAAUAGACUAUUGAAGUACAAUUUGUACAAUUGUUUUUUAAUUAUUACAAGAUAUAAGUACACUGAGAUGUAUUAAUGGCUAAAUAAAAUUGUUAUUAGCAUGAGUCUAUACACAGACCAUCACUAUAAUAUAAAAGCAGAUUCCAAAACACAUACAAAUUGUUUUAAUAAAGGUACAUAUUUUUGCUAGCCCAUCAAUUAUAUUCUGGGUCCUGCUCAUUUACACUUGUACAUUUGAAAUUCAAAUGGAACUGUAGUAGGAUAACACCUCUGAAGCUGCUUUUAACUAGAAGCCCUGAGAAAUUCUCGCUGAUGCCCAGCAGGAGGUUUUCAUUCAGCCGCUGGAGCAGAACCUCAUUUUCCCCUUGAACACUGCCAGGGCUUUUUCUUCAAUAUGGAGGCGCAGGGCUCGCUUUUAAGUAAUGAAUGAGAACUGCUGGGCAAGGCAUAAAAGCUUCCACACUGAAAAAACAUCCAGUUCAUGUUACUGUCCCUAGGUGUGCAUGCCUUUAUGUGCCUAGUAGACAAUAAAUAAUCCCUCGUGGCUGAAAAAUACCCAGCUACUUGAUACAAAAAAUGUAAUCAAAAUUAUGUUUUUUCUUUUUAGGUGUCAGACUGUCAUGAAACGAAGACUAUAGCACAAUGUAAUAUACAUUUUGUGUCACUCCUUAAUCUCCCUUUACUGUGCUGCCUGUACUUUAAUCACCAAUCUGUCGUGUUUAACCGGGGCCCACAAGACACAUGCCGGCAGUGCAGGUGCACAGCAAAGUGUCCCUGCCCUUUCUCUGUGUCCCUGCCCUUUCUCUAUGUCCCUGCCCUUUCCCUGUGUCCCUGGCACCUGCAGUCCUGCUCCAGGCUGAAGCAGCAUCCCAGCUGUGCCGAGGGUUCCCAGGCCCCAGCACCAUGCCCUACUCCCCGAGUGCCUCCCCGUGAUGCUCUGUGCUGGGAGGGUGCAGCCCGUGCUGCAGUGGGGCAGAAGGCUGUGUGCCCAUCACCACAGUGGCUGCCUGCUCCUCCCCUGGUGUGCUGUGACACAGCAGUCCCUUGCCUGUGGGAGCCCCUGGUGCUGGCCUGGCCUGGCCCCCACACUGUGCCAGGGUGGCAGCCCUGGGCAAGCUGCCCCUGCAGGUGCCCUUGGAGAGCUGGCUCCAAGAGAAGCCCACGUCUGUUUCCCUGCAUUUCAUAAGUCUGCUGGAGGCUGCCCACUGACAAUUAAAUGGUUUGUCUUCAGGAAACUGGAGCUGUAGAGACCCUGACUCCUUAGGUUUCAGAUGCUAUUUGAUGCUUCAGGGGGUCUUUGUCCAAAAAGGUGGAUCCUGGGCAGCACCUGUGGCUCUUCAGGGUCUUCCACUCCAGGAAAUUGAUCUGAGUGAGAACAUGCAGGUCUUUUUCUAGAGUUACUUUUUCUAUGAUUCAUAGAGUAAUUCUAUUGAGAUUUGGGUUUUUUCAGUGCUGGCAAAAGAUAUGGAACAAAGGAGCCCCAAACAAAAAUCUGUCUGGCAUGACUGUCAGAGAUGCCUUGAUUUCUGCCAAUCCUCCAGCUGCUGGUUCCAUCUGUUGUCUCCUGAUUUUUUUAUCACUUGCAACCACCUUAGGGCACAAGCCACUUCUGUGUGUGCGAAUCUAAAGGGACUGGUAUGACACAAUACAAAUCCUCAAUGCUUCAGCAACACUACAUAUAAUAUUAAAAAUGCUCAGAAAGAGAUUUCCAGCCACAUCUCAAAGACACUUCAAAUCAAUGAAUAAUCAAGUGUUCCUUACACUCUAGUUAAACAUAUGUGGCAGCUCUGGUUUUUGUACUGAAGUGUCUUUAUUGUUACCUUACUAGUUUUCUUUUUCCCAAACAUCCCUACAGGGCAGUUUCAGAGCAUUUGAUUGGCAGUGCCUGUCUGUGCAUGCCCACUGAUACAUGCUGAUCUUCUGAGUAAGAAAUGAGCUGGUGGACAAUGACUUUGAAUCACCAAGGGUUACUUGUUCAUCAACAUUUCACUGUUGUCUUCUCUUGACCCUACAGCUGCUCCUCCCAGUGUGACUUGCCUCAGCCUCUCUUCCUCUUCCCAGUCUGGUUUCCCAUUUUCAUUCCUCCUCCCUUUCCCACAAGCCAGAUUUUUUCAUGCUCUGUCAUGCAGGGCUGGGAGUGCACCCAGCCUCUGCCAGGCAUGUCCAGGGCUUGGUCACAGCCUCCUGUUGUCAUCUGCAAUGCUGUGCUGGGCUACCUUGCAACUGUGAGACAGUGCACACAGUGGACUGAGCUCCUCUAUGGAUUUUACUCCAGGGAGCUGUGGAAGAGCUGGCCUGCUCUCCGUGGGAGAACUGCAGGACGAUGUAACAAGGACUAACAGAACUCUGAAGUAGAUGACCUGCAGCCACAUUAAUUAUUGAUCAUGUUAGCAGUUGAUGAGUUAUGCUAAAUUGAUCUGUGGCAAGAUAAUGUGAAUUAAAAGCUGCUUAAAUAUUUAGUUUUGGUCUCUUUCUAUAUGGCAGGAAUUUGAAUGAAAAGCUACACAGGAGUCAUGGCUGGAAUCAACUUUUCAGUAAAGACAAGCCGUCAGAAGAAAAGGUACUAUCUAAAUGUAAAUAAUGAUUUAUUAGAGGAGGAAUCUCUUGCAGGUAAACAUUUUAAUGGAGGACUGGAAAUCCUUCCCCACAAAAUUCUCUAAAGGUGGGAUGAUAGAUUAAGAUUUUCUUGUUAUUAAUUUAAUUCCUCCAUAUUUUACUUUAAUUAAAUUCUGCUGCAUCUGAGGUAGUGCACAAAGCAUUGUAGGGAAAAAGAGAGACUAAAUGCCUGUAGGAAGUGAGGAGGACUAUUAGCUGAAACUCCAUAUGUUUGUUGCAGCACUGCAAUGCUGUACAGCUGGAGCACAGCUUGAGUGAAAUGAAUCCGUAGAUGAGUGGUGAGAGGAAGUAAGGGGGCUAAUUCUGACAUUGGAUACAUACAUGUGUGUGUGUGUAUAUAUGUAUCAGGCAAAAUAAUUUGCUGAUGACUCUGCACAGGGGCUUGUAACAGAAGGGAGCCAGUGCCCUGAGCUGAAGUGCCUUUGCCAGUGAGGUAAGUCCCACUGAAGAAAAAGGUUGGCAUCACUCCCCCUGAAGAAGGGCUGCACGGAUCCCCAUCAGCAUGCUUGGAUCCUACUGCAUUGCCUCACAAACUAUUUUGAAAGGCUUUAUGAUGUUAUUAAUAGUUUUGAAGUCUGACAUGCAUUCUUGGUUGGUUUAGGUGCUGCAGUUCCAAAUAAAUCCUUCCCUGUCUUCUCCUAGCCUUUCUACAAAGAAACAUCCUUAAUGUAAAGCAGUCUUGGUCCUGAAGUAGAAAUGUGUUUUAUUUUACCACUUUAGUGCAAACAGGCUUGAGUUAUCUUUAGUGAGAAGAGGAGGCUCCUGCCUACUGUAGUUUCUUCCUUACAGUUCAUCUGACUUCAUUCCUUCGUGUACCAGAGAGCACUUUGGCAUUCAAGGGUAUUUGUCUUGUUUUUUUCUCACCCUUCACAAAAGCUGUCCUCUGCUUAACAUGCACAUUUUUUCCUUCGGAGCCAUUUUCCUCUGUAGGCUCUCUGAGCUGGCCAGCUGCCAAACAGUAGGGUGAGCUGCAUGAAAAAGCCUUGAUCAUUGACAGGCUGUCUUACAAUUUCUUUCUUGUAUUCAAGAUGCAGAUGGAUGUUAUUAGAAAGGUUUUUACUUCGAAGUGCGCGGCUUGUCCACAUGGCUGAGAUUAGUGCUCAAUACUCAUAUAAUGCUUUUCAUCCUCAAAAGGGCUUUUUACAAGCUCCAGCCCCCAAAACACCCCCACAAGAUUAUGUUUUUUUCCCCAGUAAGUGAAUACUUGCAUAGUUUUGUUGAUUGAAUGAAGGACUGCAGCAUCUCAGGAAAGAUGUUGUAACUGAACUCUGGUGUGUCAGUUUCUUAUUUUUUUUCCAGAAUGCUUUGACAUUCCAUCUUAUCUCCCUCUUGUUUCCCUGGGAAAGGUAUCAGGCCCAAAAACUACUCUGGAGAAAAGGGAAAAGUUUGAUGGUUUGAUGACUACUGUACAGAGUUUCAGUUACUGGAUGAUCUCUUCCUGGAAGAAUAGAUGGAACACAAAUCGAUGGAGUCUGGUAUCACUGAUUUAAGGAGAAGCUGGGGCAGAUGUUGACUUGAGAUCUGGAGCACACCUUCUCAGGGGGGGUACCAGGAUAGAAGACCUCCCAUCAUCACUUUUACUCCUGAGGGACGAGGGGCAGACCUGUACCGUGGUCACAAGUGCAGAGGAAGUUUGUGUAGAUGUUCCUGAGCUUCAGAAAUACACGCUCGACCUUCAAGAGUUGCUGCUAUUUUGUUCAGUGUUCACACAGUGUGCAGCACAGGCCUCCUGCUAUGCCUCGUGAGUGCUGCUGCAGUACAGCCACCUUUCCUUUUGUUUGGGCACCUUUAUCAGUACAGCUGAAGGGAACACUGUGUGGACUGUGAAUUCCUCUCCAAGAUCAUGUAAAUUCUUGGACGGUACAUGCUGUUGCUCUUAGUAUUAAUCUAACUAGCUAAAGCUGGUUUGCAUACAUCUGCAGCUACAGCAGAAGUUUAAUGAUAAAUAUCCCCAAAUGUAGCCAUGCAAAUAGUGGCAAAUUCUGAAUAAAUGCAUGAAAUGCAUUUAGUAAGUAAAAAAAUCUUCUGUUUUUCCGUCAAGAAAAAAACAAAGGAUGAUUUUUCCUUUAUUGCACAGGCCAGGUUCUCUUUUGUAACCUUUAGAAUUUCAUACAUCUUAUAAAGGGAUCAUAAAACCUAUGGUAAACAUUCGAGGACUAUUUUACUAUGGUCUGUAUUAAGCUACUGGAUACCCUUCUAUCCUACCCUCAGGAUCGGGGGCACAGAGUGGUUGCUCCAUAUUUUGCCCAUACAUAAGUGAUUACUGGUUGGCAAAUAGCCACAAUAACAGAGGAUAUUAUGUAAAAAAUUAAUAGACAAAACCACCCAAACACAUGAACAAACAAACACACAUGCUCUUCACCACAGUGUAAAAGGUCCUAAAAGCUGGAAUUGCAAAUGGUAGCAAUCCCAGCCAUGUAUAAAUCCCAAAAAGGAAGAGACAUUCUUGGAAAUGGUGCCACCACUAAAGAGAGAGCAGAGAGGCUAAUCUUAUUUGAAGGAUAAGAUCAUCUCCCCUUGGUAGUGGCCUUACUUGUACCUAAAAUAAUUUAUCUUUGACUUAAAAUCUGACAAAAUUGGCUUCUGCCCAGUCCAAAGGGGACAACUGCUGUUCUCAAGGUCAGCUCUGGAGGGGUUCACCAGGCCAGUACCUCUGUUCCCCUAUAACUGUCUACCUCCAUGAAAGGUUAUGGAAUGAUCUUUUUAUGGUUCCAAGAAGGUGCCCGGAGAGAGGUAGAGGGGCAAUUCUGGGGGCUGGAGUUUGGCUGCAUGAGUCUGCUUCAGCUGCCAUGCCAUCUCCAGGAGAGAGAUGAAAAUAAGUACCUACCCAAAGAAAUGGGAAAAAAGAGCAUCCCUGGGCUUAUAACCAAACAGAGUGUAUAUAAUUUACUACACUCCCUCAAACUGGCAAUGUUUUAUUUCUUACCAUGCCAGACUGGUGCAGCCCAAGCAAACCAAGUGUUUAACUGUGGGUGACUAACUACAGGUGUAAUGAAUUAAAAGACAUGUGGCUAUGCCAAGUGCAAGCUUUUCAAAGUGUGAGCAUCUUCUUAAAAAUGAGGUUUAGCAAAUGAACAAAAUGCUCCCAGAACUGCUGAAUUUGUUUUCUUAGCAUUUUAGUAACUGUUUGACCUGACCAUUUCAAAUAACCACUCAAAAGAAAUGGACACAUUCAGGAGGGCAGAUACCCUGUAUUUCUAAGGCAAAACACUUCUAUAAAAUAACACAGUGAUUGCUUAUAGCUAUCCAAAAAGAUAUUGUGCUGAGCUGUCAUAUUUUGUGUUGCAGCCUUUUCAUACUGUUGAAAUAUCAACACUAUAUGUACUGCAUGUGUAUAGUUAACUCUUGGUUUCCUGGUAUAAGAUGGGUAGGAAACCUGUAUAAUGUAUUAACAUGACCAUAAAAACAUCCCCCCCCCCAAAAAAAAAAAAAUAAAAUCCAUAAUAAAUAAGGGUAAGGAUAGAUAAUACAGCCUGAAGAGUAACCAAUAAGCCAAAUGAAUGGCAUGUCUGGAAAUAUAUGUGUAUUUUAAAUUAUACUCAUUUUUUUGGUUGAAGCUGGAAAACAGAAAGACAAUGAGACUAAGAGAAAAUGUAAGUUGCAUAAACAUUUGACACUGUAAACUAUAUUUUGUUGAAUACUUGUAGUGUAAAAUAGGGGUUUCUGGAGAUAAUUGGAUGCUUUCUCUAAUAAUAACUGUCCUUACUCUAAAUUUUGAUGAUUAUUUACCAAUUUAUUGUUUAUUUUUUUUCUAUUCAGAAACAACUAGACUAUUUGCAGCAAGAGAAAAAGCCUAACAUAAAGGAUAGGCUAGUAAUCAUCAUGGAGGAUAUGAAUAAUCAGAAGUAUUUGCAUUAUACAAAUAUGUUGCUUACAGACACUAAAAAAGGUGUUAACACAACACAUCCUGAAAUACUAUUGAGAAAUUAUUGAAUAUAUUUGUACAUAGAUAGUUCUAUGUACAAUUCUCUUGUCAUUCAUUCAUUCCCAUUUAUAGCAGUUCAUGUAGUGUGUGAUAGGCCUUUGACACAGAUCUAUAACCAUCGAGAUUUGUGACACUGAGCAGAGUACAAUGAGAGCCCUCCAGAUCCCAUCCUCUGAAGCAAAAUAUCUCUGUGAAUCACAGGUAUUGUGUUACCAGACAGCACAGCAAAAAAAUUAACCAGAGCAAAACACUCGACUUGAUUCUGUUACAGCUAAUAGGACUGAAAUGAAAGAUAAUUGCAUAUUAAAAUAGAGUGGGUAGCUCUGUUUUGAUAUAGAGAUAUAAAGAUGUCAGGCAAGCUAGGCUGCAGCAGCAGGCAAUGGGUGCCCUGAAGUGAUUGAGGAAUGAAGCCCAAGAGAGCAUUCCUCACAUUCCUGUGGCACUCCUCCUAUACAUAUGCCCCACAAAAAAAGGGAAUUCCAGCACUCCGGAUUGGUGAGCUGAGCUUCAGAAAAGCUGGCACUUUUCUAUAGCUGCAGGCUUGAUUAAUUUGAAGGAAUUAUUAUCAUCUCUGGAAGAUGAACACGAGGCAUAUUUAAACUGUUAUUUUUUAGGGCAAAGGACAUGACAUUUCCAAUCUGUUACAAAAAAAAAAAAAAAAGAAAAAAAGAAAAAAAGAAAAAAAGAAAAAAAGAAUCUCCCAUCAGGACUUCUAGGAAGCACCAAUAAGCAAGAUGUAGAGAAUGUGGAGCACUCCCUAGUAUUUUCCCAAGAUCUGCCCAGAAUAAUUGGUAUAACUGCAAAAAUAUUUUGCUGACACAUAUGAGUGGGAUUAGCCCAAAGAGCUAUCUUUGUUAAUGAGCCAUAUCUAGAAAUUCAGUAGGUUUAGUAGAUUACUAUCUGAAGACACAGCAUUUUUGAGAGCCACUUAUGUCUAAAAGUGUAACAUUUUUUUCUCCUGGGACUAGCAGUGUACGUUCAGUAAGGAAAUGAUGGUUAUCCCUGGGAAUUUCCACAAAUAAAAAAAAAAUCAAAUAAAGAUGACAGUACCUUACUUGGAA
Parus major (Great Tit) is the source of this 12049-nucleotide long non-coding RNA. RefSeq lists it as uncharacterized. The transcript has 6 exons. The record is from RefSeq and is a predicted model, not a curated record. Lineage: Eukaryota; Metazoa; Chordata; Aves; Passeriformes; Paridae.